RNAcentral lists this ribosomal RNA (386 nucleotides) under Oryzias latipes (Japanese medaka). RNAcentral's name for it is "partial 12S ribosomal RNA". It matches the Rfam family "Bacterial small subunit ribosomal RNA", at positions 794 to 1384 of the family's 1533-position model. Lineage: Eukaryota; Metazoa; Chordata; Actinopteri; Beloniformes; Adrianichthyidae. The record is from RNAcentral.
GCAUGGCUGUAAACUUUGAUGAAUAAUUACAUUAUCAUUCGCCAGGGUACUACGAGCACCAGCUUAAAACCCAAAGGACUUGGCGGUGCUUUAGACCCACCUAGAGGAGCCUGUUCUAGAACCGAUAACCCCCGUUAAACCUCACCCUCUCUAGUUCAUUCCGCCUAUAUACCGCCGUCGUCAGCUUACCCUGUGAAGGGCUAAUAGUAAGCAAAACCAGUAAUACUCAAAACGUCAGGUCGAGGUGUAGCAUAUGAGAGGGGAAGAAAUGGGCUACAUUCCUUGCUUCAAGGAAAACGGAUAAUAUAAUGAAAUAUAUAUUAGAAGGAGGAUUUAGCAGUAAGCAGCAAAUAGAGAGUUCUGCUGAAACUGGCCCUGAAGCGCGC